RNAcentral lists this ribosomal RNA (253 nucleotides) under uncultured bacterium. Its description in RNAcentral is "partial 16S ribosomal RNA". It matches the Rfam family "Bacterial small subunit ribosomal RNA", at positions 524 to 776 of the family's 1533-position model. The record is from RNAcentral.
UACGUAGGGUGCGAGCGUUAAUCGGAAUUAUUGGGCGUAAAGCGUGCGGAGGCGGUUUUGUAAGUCAGAUGUGAAAUCCCCGGGCUCAACCUGGGAACUGCGUUUGAAACUACAAGACUAGAAUAUGUCAGAGGGGGGUAGAAUUCCACGUGUAGCAGUGAAAUGCGUAGAGAUGUGGAGGGAUACCGAUGGCGAAGGCAGCUCCCUGGGAUAAUAUUGACGCUCAUGCACGAAAGCGUGGGGAGCAAACAGG